GACGAACGCUGGCGGCGUGCUUAACACAUGCAAGUCGAACGGAAAGGCCCGGCUUUUGUGGGGUUCUCGAGUGGCGAACGGGUGAGUAACACGUGAGUAACCUGCCCUUGACUUUGGGAGAACUUCAGGGAACUGGGGCUAAUACCGGAGAGAAUCUCCUGCUGCGCGUGGGGGGUUGGUAAAUGUCGGCUGUUGUGGCUGGACUCGCGGCUUAUCAGCUUGUUGGUCGGGUAGGGGCGUACGAAGGCUUUGACGGGUAGCCGGCCUGGGAGGGUGAACGGGCACCAUGGGACUGCGAUACGGACCAGAAGCGUACGGGCGGCAGUAGUGGGGAAUAUUGCACAAUGGGGCGACGCGUGAUACAGCAACGCUGGGUGCGGGAUGCCGGGUUAUGGGUUGAAAACAGCUUUGGACGGUGCUGAAGAGUGCGUGACGGUAAUGGGUCAAGAAGCAACGGCUAACUACGUG
Molecule: ribosomal RNA, 468 nt
Filed under: uncultured bacterium
Lineage: Bacteria
Description: partial 16S ribosomal RNA
Rfam family: Bacterial small subunit ribosomal RNA
Source: RNAcentral